CGUCCCUGCUACCUCUAACAGACAACAGAAUAGUGGCUAAAGGAUUGUAUCUUCUCAAACAAAACAGGUUCUCACAAAUGAUCUUCAUCUACGCUGCUACUUGAUGCAGGAAGAGCAUCAGAUGGGUCUCUUGGUUGGCACCAGUCUCUCAGGAAGGUGCCGCCUUGAACCUGAAGACUCUGCGGGCUCCUGUUUCCACCUACAUCCCCAUCACCAAGGUGGAAGGCUUCUUGGACCAGGGUUUCAGCCUGGUCCCUCCGCUGGAGUCCAACCUCACGCCGUUCUUCGAUGUGAAGUCAGCUCAGGCGGCGACCGCACAGCGCCCCCUUCUGGCCUCUCUGGGACCGCAGUGGGUGGCCCGUCUCGCUGACUUAGCCCACCAAUGCACCGUCCAGAACUCAGCCUCCACCAACAACACGGCGCUGAUUGCUUCCUCCUUCACGAAGCUAGCGGCCAACUCCACCACCGUGACGGAGGAAGAAAAGGAGAAGAUCAGCAAAGGGGCCAGUGUACAGCUCACAGAGUGCGCCGCUGCGGUCAUCUUCGCUGUCCGGAUACGUGUCUAGCUAACCCAGAUUCACCGUAUUCUGUGACUUCUGCA
Micropterus dolomieu (smallmouth bass) is the source of this 601-nucleotide long non-coding RNA. RefSeq lists it as uncharacterized. The record is from RefSeq and is a predicted model, not a curated record. The transcript has 3 exons. NCBI's taxonomy places the organism in Eukaryota, Metazoa, Chordata, Actinopteri, Centrarchiformes, Centrarchidae.